AUGGAAGCCGUUGCGGCCUCGGCGAAGCCCACACUCCGCGUGGCCGCUCUCAGCGGCUCCCUCCGCAACAACUCGUGGCAUCACGGCCUCAUCCGCGCCGUGCUGACUGUGCCUUGCAUGUGUGGUGCAGCCGAGGAGCUGUGCGAGGAGUGCAUUCCAGGGCUGCGCAUCGACCACGUCGACAUCUCCGGCCUGCCCAUGGCCAACCCGGACCUCGAGACCGACGGUGGCGACGGUUUCCCGCCGGCCGUGGAGGCGUUCCGCGACAGGGUCAGCGCCGCGGACUGCUUCCUCUUCGCCUCGCCCGAGUACAACUACUCCGUCACCGGCUCGCUCAAGAACGCGCUGGACUGGGCAUCGAGGGGCACACACAAAUGCUGGGCUGACAAGGCAGCGGCGAUCAUCUGCGCGGGGGGCGACUUCGGCGGGGGCAGGGCGUCGCUCCACUUGCGCGAGAUCGGGAUAUACCUGGACCUGCACUUCAUCAACAAGCCGGAGCUCCACAUCAGGGCGUACGAGGACCCGCCCAAGUUCGACGACAAGGGGAACCUCAUCGACGCCCAAGCCAAGGACCGGCUCAGGAAGGUGCUCCUCUCGCUGCAGGCAUUCGCGCUCAGGCUCCAACGCAAAGAGAAUUGA
Molecule: ribosomal RNA, 639 nt
Filed under: Triticum aestivum (bread wheat)
Lineage: Eukaryota; Viridiplantae; Streptophyta; Magnoliopsida; Poales; Poaceae
Description: partial small subunit ribosomal RNA
Source: RNAcentral